RNAcentral lists this ribosomal RNA (255 nucleotides) under uncultured bacterium. RNAcentral describes it as "partial 16S ribosomal RNA". It matches the Rfam family "Bacterial small subunit ribosomal RNA", at positions 524 to 776 of the family's 1533-position model. The record is from RNAcentral.
UACGUAGGUGGCAAGCGUUUGUCCGGAUUUACUGGGCGUAAAGAGCGCGCAGGCGGUCGUUCAAGUCGCGUGUGAAAGCCCCCCGGCUCAACUGGGGAGGGUCACGCGAUACUGAUCGACUCGAAGGCAGGAGAGGGAAGUGGAAUUCCCGGUGUAGUGGUGAAAUGCGUAGAUAUCGGGAGGAACACCAGUGGCGAAGGCGACUUCCUGGCCUGUUCUUGACGCUGAGGCGCGAAAGCUAGGGGAGCAAACGGG